This 271-nucleotide ribosomal RNA is filed under the name uncultured bacterium. Its description in RNAcentral is "partial 16S ribosomal RNA". It matches the Rfam family "Bacterial small subunit ribosomal RNA", at positions 524 to 794 of the family's 1533-position model. The record is from RNAcentral.
GACAGAGGUGGCAAGCGUUGUUCGGAAUUAUUGGGCUUAAAGGGCGCGUAGGCGGUGGUGUAAGUCUGAGGUGGAAUCCUGCAGCUUAACUGUGGGACUGCCUUGGAAACUGCAUCACUUGAGUCAAGCAGGGGAAGGCGGAAUUCCUGGUGUAGCGGUGAAAUGCGUAGAUAUCAGGAGGAAGGCCUGUGGUGAAGACGGCCUUCUGGGCUUUGACUGACGCUGAGGCGCGAAAGCGUGGGUAGCAAACAGGAUUAGAAACCCGAGUAGU